AAUAGAUACCCCGGUAGUCCACGCCGUAAACGAUGAGUGCUAAGUGUUAGAGGGUUUCCGCCCUUUAGUGCUGCAGCUAACGCAUUAAGCACUCCGCCUGGGGAGUACGGUCGCAAGACUGAAACUCAAAGGAAUUGACGGGGGCCCGCACAAGCGGUGGAGCAUGUGGUUUAAUUCGAAGCAACGCGAAGAACCUUACCAGGUCUUGACAUCCUCUGACAACUCUAGAGAUAGAGCGUUCCCCUUCGGGGGACAGAGUGACAGGUGGUGCAUGGUUGUCGUCAGCUCGUGUCGUGAGAUGUUGGGUUAAGUCCCGCAACGAGCGCAACCCUUGAUCUUAGUUGCCAGCAUUUAGUUGGGCACUCUAAGGUGACUGCCGGUGACAAACCGGAGGAAGGUGGGGAUGACGUCAAAGUCAUCAUGCCCCUUAUGACCUGGGCUACACACGUGCUACAAUGGAUGGUACAAAGGGCUGCAAGACCGCGAGGUCAAGCCAAUCCCAUAAAACCAUUCUCAGUUCGGA
This 523-nucleotide ribosomal RNA is filed under the name uncultured bacterium. RNAcentral's name for it is "bacterial SSU rRNA". It matches the Rfam family "Bacterial small subunit ribosomal RNA", at positions 777 to 1297 of the family's 1533-position model. The record is from RNAcentral.